RNAcentral lists this ribosomal RNA (775 nucleotides) under uncultured Neocallimastigales. RNAcentral's name for it is "partial large subunit ribosomal RNA". It matches the Rfam family "Eukaryotic large subunit ribosomal RNA", at positions 26 to 614 of the family's 3401-position model. Lineage: Eukaryota; Fungi; Neocallimastigomycota; Neocallimastigomycetes; Neocallimastigales. The record is from RNAcentral.
CGCAUCUGUGCAUGCAGCAUAUCAAUAAGCGGAGGAAAAGAAACUAACAAGGAUUCCCCUAGUAACGGCGAGUGAAGCGGGAAGAGCUCAAAUUUGAAAUCUUAAAGGGUUUCCCUUUACGAAUUGUAGUUUAAAGAAGUGUUUUCUGUUGAGGUUUUGGUAAAAGUUCUUUGGAAUAGGACAUCAUAGAGGGUGAGAAUCCCGUAUUUGACCUUUACUUUCAACUUUGUGAUACACUUUCAAAGAGUCGGAUUGUUUGGGAAUGCAGUCCAAAAUGGGUGGUAAAUUUCAUCUAAAGCUAAAUAUUGGCGAGAGACCGAUAGCGAACAAGUACCGUGAGGGAAAGAUGAAAAGAACUUUGAAAAGAGAGUUAAACAGUACGUGAAAUUGUCAAAAGGGAAGCGUUUGACACCAGUGUUGUUUUUCUGAAAAUCAAUUAAAGAACUGUUUAUGCUAAGCUGUUUAGACUUUAUCAGCUAACUGUUUAGUUUUGAGCUUUUCUUUAAUGCACUUUUCAGUUAACAAGUCAACAUCAAUUUCUUUUGCUGUAAAAAAGCUUGAGGAAGGUGGCUUGAGAUUCGUCUUAAGUGUUUAUAGCCUCUUGCCUAUGCAGUCGGAGAGAUUGAGGUCUGCAGCGUAGAUCCUUCGGGGCUAAAUGCAUUUGUGCUAAGUUAUAGCAUUUUAUAGACAACCUUGUUGACUAUGAUUUGUCUUGUAGCUUACUCGCUUAUGUUAUUUUACCUACGCUUAGGAUGUUGAGUCAUCACACAUCUCU